GCAGGCUUUGGACAGCGGUAGCCAGGGCCUGCACCUGUUGUACCAGGGCAUCGAACUGCUCCGGCCGAACUUGAUGAACUGACUCGGUCGGAGGUGAUGAGUUUCGGCCGGAACGCUCCGGGCUAGGUGGAGGACGUUGAGAGGCAUUGGAAGCCCCUUUGCUUCUUAGCUUCAUGGCAGCGAACUCGGGCCCUUCCUCUAGCGCCAACUGUUGCUGGAAAUUGGACCCGGGGGCCGCCGCGAAGCCGG
Molecule: long non-coding RNA, 249 nt
Filed under: Phoenix dactylifera (date palm)
Lineage: Eukaryota; Viridiplantae; Streptophyta; Magnoliopsida; Arecales; Arecaceae
Description: long non-coding RNA (PDAC_LNC002514)
Source: RNAcentral